GACGAACGCUGGCGGCGUGCUUAACACAUGCAAGUCGAACGGAAAGGCCCUGCUUUUGUGGGGUGCUCGAGGGGCGAACGGGUGAGUAACACGUGAGUAACCUGCCCUUGACUUUGGGAUAAAUUCAAGAAACUGGGGAUAAUACCGGAUAGGAGCUCCUGCUGCACGGUGGGGGGUGGAAAGUUUCGGCGGGUGGGGAUGGACUCGCGGCUUAUCAGCUUGUUGGUGGGGUAGUGGCUUACCAAGGCUUUGACGGGUAGCCGGCCUGAGAGGGUGACCGGCCACAUUGGGACUGAGAUACGGCCCAGACUCCUACGGGAGGCAGCAGUGGGGAAUAUUGCACAAUGGGCGGAAGCCUGAUGCAGCAACGCCGCGUGCGGGAUGACGGCCUUCGGGUUGUAAACCGCUUUCGCCUGUGACGAAGCGUGAGUGACGGUAAUGGGUAAAGAAGCACCGGCUAACUACGUG
Molecule: ribosomal RNA, 468 nt
Filed under: uncultured bacterium
Lineage: Bacteria
Description: partial 16S ribosomal RNA
Rfam family: Bacterial small subunit ribosomal RNA
Source: RNAcentral